This 458-nucleotide ribosomal RNA is filed under the name uncultured Alphaproteobacteria bacterium. Its description in RNAcentral is "bacterial SSU rRNA". It matches the Rfam family "Bacterial small subunit ribosomal RNA", at positions 8 to 512 of the family's 1533-position model. Lineage: Bacteria; Pseudomonadati; Pseudomonadota; Alphaproteobacteria. The record is from RNAcentral.
AGAGUUUGAUCCUGGCUCAGAACGAACGCUGGCGGCAGGCUUAACACAUGCAAGUCGAACGCCCUCUUUUGAGGGAGUGGCAGACGGGUGAGUAACGCGUGGGAAUCUACCUAGUGGUAAGGAACAACACGGAGAAAUUUGUGCUAAUACCUUAUACGCCCUCCGGGGGAAAGAUUUAUCGCCAUUAGAUGGGCCCGCGUUUGAUUAGCUAGUUGGUGAGGUAAUGGCUCACCAAGGCGACGAUCAAUAGCUGGUCUGAGAGGAUGAUCAGCCACACUGGGACUGAGACACGGCCCAGACUCCUACGGGAGGCAGCAGUGGGGAAUAUUGGACAAUGGGCGCAAGCCUGAUCCAGCCAUGCCGCGUGUGUGAUGAAGGCCUUAGGGUUGUAAAGCACUUUCAACGGUGAAGAUAAUGACGGUAACCGUAGAAGAAGCUCCGGCUAACUUCGUGCCAGC